UACGGAGGGUGCAAGCGUUAUCCGGAUUCACUGGGUUUAAAGGGUGCGUAGGCGGAUUAGUAAGUCAGUGGUGAAAUCCCCGAGCUUAACUUGGGAACUGCCAUUGAUACUAUUAGUCUUGAAUACCGUGGAGGUUGACGGAAUAUGUCAUGUAGCGGUGAAAUGCUUAGAUAUGACAUAGAACACCAAUUGCGAAGGCAGUUGACUACGCGAGUAUUGACGCUGAGGCACGAAAGCGUGGGGAUCAAACAGG
RNAcentral lists this ribosomal RNA (253 nucleotides) under uncultured bacterium. RNAcentral's name for it is "partial 16S ribosomal RNA". It matches the Rfam family "Bacterial small subunit ribosomal RNA", at positions 524 to 776 of the family's 1533-position model. The record is from RNAcentral.